Molecule: long non-coding RNA, 787 nt
Organism: Cucumis sativus (cucumber)
Lineage: Eukaryota; Viridiplantae; Streptophyta; Magnoliopsida; Cucurbitales; Cucurbitaceae
Exons: 2
Source: RefSeq, a predicted model, not a curated record
CUUGGAACCAAUAUGACUCAUGAAAGUAAAGCUUCGUGGGGACAAGAAAUGGAUGGGCAAUAUUAAACUUGGAUCCCUUUAUUCUACUGCUACACAUGGGGAGCGGCAUUCUUCAGGUUCACCUCUGAAAUUCUCAAACUAAGUCUAAAUGUUAUUAGAUUAUUCACUACUGAUCGAAGACAGAGCCAAAACUUGUAGUAAACUGAUAUGAAUUGGAAGGUCAUGUCAGCUUGGCUAAGGUAUCACAUAUAGCUGAUAAGCCAUCCGCAUGGGAGAAUUUGAUUCUCUGUUUUUCCAGUCAGGGAAUUUUCAUAUUGGAGAAGAUUAAUUACCCCCAUCCAUCCUUUUGUUUUUCUUCUUCCUGUCAUUUCGUACUAUCUUCACUUGGUUUUUUUAUUCCUUUUUUUUUUUUUACCUUGAUUAAUCUUUACAGAAUUUAUAUAUGGAAAUGAGUUUACAUUUGUGAGGACUUGCAUAUCUUGCUUUAAAUUGACUGAUAUUCUUCAGUAGGAAAUUCCUCCAAAUCAUGGUUGUAUCGCACACCAUGAAUUGUAGAUUCAAUGAACGAAUAACAAGUGGCUUUGAUUACACACUUAGCACAACAAACGAAAGGACGAAAAUUUGGACAACUUGCAACUUCAAGAGAAGUAGAUUUCUUAACUGUGAGUUGUACUAAAAAAAAUCUACGUUUUUAUUUGUGAAUACAACCUAGUUGUGAUAACAUAUACAAACAGGAUGUAAAACGACAUUGAUUCAAUACAAAUCAAAGGAAAUUAGAAUCUUUGUA